RNAcentral lists this long non-coding RNA (1374 nucleotides) under Phascolarctos cinereus (koala). Its description in RNAcentral is "lncRNA (ENSPCIG00000034563.1)". The record is from RNAcentral. Lineage: Eukaryota; Metazoa; Chordata; Mammalia; Diprotodontia; Phascolarctidae.
UGUUGUGCCUUCACAAGCACCAUACGGCUUGGUUUUUAUUGCAGGGAACUGGGCUCUUGGAAAAUGCUCAUAGCUCCAGGAGCCAGAAAUCUGCACGGAUUCAUGGCACAGGUGUGUUUCACAAAUCUCAGCUGCUCCCCUAACCACGUCCAAUAGUCUUAGGCGGACCCUAGUAAGACUACAGCUGUUAGGUCCCCCUAACAUUAUUGGAGGGGGUUAGGGAGCAGCUGAGCUGUCCUCGGGUCCCCCAAAGGAUGAUGCCGGCUCUGCAGAGUUUCGUCCUAGCUGGAGAAGGAAGCGACGUGUUCCAGGGGAGAAACGGAAGGAGGAGGAAGGAACUUGGCCUUCCUACCCUGGAAGACAGGCAGCAAGAGGGUCGGCUGUAGGUGUAAUAGACUUGGACUGCUGACUUGGCGUCUUGCUGCCCGGUAAAAGCUGCUUGUGCUUGGAGGAGUGGACGCUUCCUACAGUCUUGGUAGCUGCGGGGGAGCCCUCCUGAGAUUGAGAGCCAGCUUUGGCGAGACUGGGAUUCCUGGAGCAUCGGUAUUCUUGUAAGAGAACUCCGUGCAUGCCUGGCUAGAUUGUUCUGAAGGAACGGAGUUUCCUGGCCAGGUGGGUGCAAUAGUUGAUUCAGUAUCUCAUUGCUUGGAUUAAUUUUUAAAAUUCAGGAGUGGGAGCGCCACUAGAAUCUAGAGGGCAACACACAAAAAACGUUUUGGAAACGAAUAACUGCUGCUUUCAUGCUAUUGCUCAACCUUUUCAUUUAUGGUACAGGAAAAGUUAAUCUCUGCCACCGGUAUGUGCCAUCUGUGAGAUAGGAACACAUUUGUGUUGACUUGUGCCCAAGAAAAUGCUUUGAAAAAAUCCCCUUCUGGCUUUUCCUUUUGAAGUAUCUUCUUCAGAGAUUCUCUACUUGAUUUAAGAUUAUAGAAAGACAGAAAAAGAAUGCAAUACUUAAUUGUUUCACUGGGGAUGGGGAGAUUGGUGGUGGGCUGGCUGGUCAGCUGGCAGUUGUGGCUGAAUUGAAUAAUUUAGUGACAUUUCUUGUGCAAGGUAGAUGGACUUUAGUCUGAGAGAUUUGGGCAAGACCUGGUUGUUUUACUGGUUGAGAAGGAAGACAAGCUUUUGAAGAAAUCUGAAAUUUAUCAAUCAGUGGUCCCUUUCUUACUGGCAGAGUGAAAUGGAUAGGAGGAUUUAAUUCAAGUGAAUCAAUCUUUUAUUUUGUGGAAAAUGAAAAUGAGGUUUCUAGCUGACCCUUUUCUUGAGAGGAGGAAAUCAUAGCUCAGAAUAGCCAAGUGAUGUACUUUUUAAAAAGAAGCUUUAUUUACCUUGCUGAGUAGUGUAAUCACUUGGUUUUAUGUAUAUCUAUCUAUG